CAUGAUUAGUUAAUCUAGGAUUGUUUAGAGGGUAGUCGCAGUCGCCCCAACUCCAACUUAUAAAACAAUUUUUUAUUUUGUAAGUAGGGUGAGAAACAACAUUUUGUUGGAAACUCUAUUUUUUUUAAGAAAUUAGAGAACUGU
RNAcentral lists this non-coding RNA (144 nucleotides) under unclassified sequences. RNAcentral describes it as "IS605-orfB-II RNA". It matches the Rfam family "IS605-orfB-II RNA". The record is from Rfam by way of RNAcentral.